Asparagus officinalis (garden asparagus) is the source of this 198-nucleotide long non-coding RNA. RefSeq lists it as uncharacterized. The transcript is spliced from 3 exons. The record is from RefSeq and is a predicted model, not a curated record. NCBI's taxonomy places the organism in Eukaryota, Viridiplantae, Streptophyta, Magnoliopsida, Asparagales, Asparagaceae.
CAGAUGCUUGCAAAGGCACUAGCGCAUCACUUUGAGGCCAAACUAUUGUUGCUAGAUAUAACUGACUUCUCUCUCAAGAUGCAGAGCAAAUAUGGUCAUGGCAAUAAAGAUUCACUUCUCAAAAGAUCCAUAUCGGAGGGAGCAAUUAAGAGAAUGUCUUGUCUAUUUGAAUCAUUUUCCCUUCUUUCUCCAACGGAG